Molecule: ribosomal RNA, 498 nt
Filed under: uncultured bacterium
Lineage: Bacteria
Description: bacterial SSU rRNA
Rfam family: Bacterial small subunit ribosomal RNA
Source: RNAcentral
GACGAACGCUGGCGGCAUGUCUGACCUAUGCAAGUCGAACGGUCCGGCACUAAACUGCGGAUCCGGCUCAACUGGAGAGACGGAGCGAGGGUCCGGAGUUUAGUGCCGGAUAGUGGCGGACGGGUGAGUAACGCGUGAGGAACCAACCUGGUACAGGGGGAUAACACUGGGAAACCAGUGCUAAUACCGCAUGAGACCACAGUACCGCAUGGUACGGGGGUCAAAGGAGCGAUCCGGUAUCAGACGGUCUCGCGUCCCAUUAGGUAGUAGGCGGGGUAACGGCCCACCUAGCCGACGAUGGGUAGCCGAGCUGAGAGGCUGAUCGGCCACACUGGGACUGAGACACGGUCCAGACUCCUACGGGAGGCAGCAGUGAGGAAUAUUGCGCAAUGGGGGCAACCCUGACGCAGCAACGCCGCGUGAGUGAGGAAGGUUUUCGGACCGUAAAGCUCUGUCGAGCGGGAAGAAAGUGCAUGGUGGCUAAUAUCCAUCAUGCUU